UGGGGAAUAUUGCACAAUGGGCGAAAGCCUGAUGCAGCAACGCCGCGUGAGUGAUGAAGGUCUUCGGAUUGUAAAGCUCUGUCUUUUGGGACGAUAAUGACGGUACCAAAGGAGGGAGCCACGGCUAACUACGUGCCAGCAGCCGCGGUAAUACGUAGGUGGCGAGCGUUGUCCGGAUUUACUGGGCGUAAAGGGUGCGUAGGCGGAUGUUUAAGUGAGAUGUGAAAUACCCGGGCUUAACUUGGGUGCUGCAUUUCAAACUGGAUAUCUAGAGUGCAGGAGAGGAGAAUGGAAUUCCUAGUGUAGCGGUGAAAUGCGUAGAGAUUAGGAAGAACACCAGUGGCGAAGGCGAUUCUCUGGACUGUAACUGACGCUGAGGCACGAAAGCGUGGGUAGCAAACAGGAUUAGAUACCCUGGUAGUCCACGCCGUAAAACGAUGAGUACUAGGUGUAGGAGGUAUCGACCCCUUCUGUGCCGCAGUAAAACACAUUAAAGUA
This 498-nucleotide ribosomal RNA is filed under the name uncultured bacterium. Its description in RNAcentral is "partial 16S ribosomal RNA". It matches the Rfam family "Bacterial small subunit ribosomal RNA", at positions 355 to 866 of the family's 1533-position model. The record is from RNAcentral.